RNAcentral lists this transfer RNA (75 nucleotides) under Bacillota bacterium. Its description in RNAcentral is "Firmicutes bacterium (anaerobic digester metagenome) tRNA-Asn". It matches the Rfam family "tRNA". Rfam says of the family: Transfer RNA (tRNA) molecules are approximately 80 nucleotides in length. The record is from RNAcentral. Lineage: Bacteria; Bacillati; Bacillota.
UCCCCGGUAGCUCAAUGGUAGAGCACCCGGCUGUUAACCGGGUGGUUGUUGGUUCGAGUCCAACCCGGGGAGCCA